GAGGCUCAACUGUAUGUCUCUGAUGGAGACUUUGGGGCUGGUUGCAUGAUGUCACUUUUUCUAGGAUAAGAAAUUUGGGCUCCUAACCACCUAGUAAUAUUCCACUGGGAUUACUGCACCUAUUUAGCAGAUGAAAAUUUUGAUUUGCAUUGUGAAUCCCUGACUGUUUAACUUUUUACUCCUUAAACUCUACUAAAGAAUAUCUUCACAGAAAAAUAAAGCCUCAGCAUUUGUGGAUUGUUAGAAAUAUUAACACAUUGGUAGUAAACAAGUCUUAUCUUAAAAUCUGUAUUUGUUUGCCUCUCCAGGUCAUCCAAGAACAUAAAAUUUUGAACUUAUUCUUUGUUUCCUAAACAGUGCUUGAUGGAUACUGGGAUAAGGUCAGCAUAUGUUUACCUUUAAGAUGUAGUCAAACCAAAAUCAUGGCUUAAUGCACAGAUGGUUCUUAGUGGUUAUCCAGUGAGAAGACAGAGAAAGUUAAAUUUGAUACCAGAUUUAUAUGCAGUCUUAGUAUUAGGAGUAAUUUUCAUUUUCAAAAUACACUUUUUUCUUAAAAUAUAGGCUUAAAAUGUAGACUCAUUGUUAGAAAACAAAAUUGAUAAUCAGCUUAAUUACUCUCAAGAGCAAAUUUAAAAGCAAAACAAGUAUCUUUCCUUCAGUUCCCUUUAGUUCAGUGGCAGGCAGUGCCCCCUCCAAUUUACUGAUACAAAAGCACCUCUUGAUUCCCAUGGGUACAUUUGCUGACAUGCCUGCUUCCUGCAGACUGGGACCAUCACUUGAAAACAGGAGACAGUGUCUUCAUAUCUCUGCAGCCUAACACCUUGAGUAAUACUUGGAGCACUGUAGUCAAAAAAUUGUCAGUGAUUUCAGGACUGGGUUAAAUGUUGACGUGAAUUAAAAAGAGAAAAACAGAGUUGCACAUGAAAAUGAGAUCCCCAGCUUGUCUGGUUGGAAAGUAGAUUCAUUGGGCCAGCAAAAACAUUUUCUGAGUAUGCACAGUGUAUAUGCACAGCUUGAGUGCCUGGUACAAAAAGGUACCAGGAUAUAGAAGAUCCAGAACAAAGGUCUUGCAUUUCAGUAGCUAGUAUUGAGCAGCUUUUAACAUAGCCUACAUUUUAGUAAGUGAAAGAAAAG
RNAcentral lists this long non-coding RNA (1134 nucleotides) under Marmota monax (woodchuck). The record is from RNAcentral. Lineage: Eukaryota; Metazoa; Chordata; Mammalia; Rodentia; Sciuridae.